Molecule: ribosomal RNA, 965 nt
Filed under: Actinomycetales bacterium
Lineage: Bacteria; Bacillati; Actinomycetota; Actinomycetes; Actinomycetales
Description: bacterial LSU rRNA
Rfam family: Bacterial large subunit ribosomal RNA
Source: RNAcentral
GAACUUAAGCGCCAGUAAACGGCGGUGGUAACUAUAACCAUCCUAAGGUAGCGAAAUUCCUUGUCGGGUAAGUUCCGACCUGCACGAAUGGCGUAACGAUUUCUCCACUGUCUCAACCACGAACUCGGCGAAAUUGCACUACGAGUAAAGAUGCUCGUUACGCGCAGAAGGACGGAAAGACCCCGGGACCUUUACUACAGCUUGGUAUUGGUGUUCGGUACGGCUUGUGUAGGAUAGGUGGGAGACUGUGAAGUCGGCACGCCAGUGUCGGUGGAGUCAACGUUGAAAUACCACUCUGGUCGUUCUGGAUGUCUAACCUAGGUCCGUGAUCCGGAUCAGGGACAGUGCCUGGUGGGUAGUUUAACUGGGGCGGUUGCCUCCUAAAAGGUAACGGAGGCGCCCAAAGGUUCCCUCAGCCUGGUUGGCAAUCAGGUUUCGAGUGUAAGUGCACAAGGGAGCUUGACUGUGAGACAGACAUGUCGAGCAGGGACGAAAGUCGGGACUAGUGAUCCGGCGGUGGCUUGUGGAAGCGCCGUCGCUCAACGGAUAAAAGGUACCCCGGGGAUAACAGGCUGAUCUUGCCCAAGAGUCCAUAUCGACGGCAUGGUUUGGCACCUCGAUGUCGGCUCGUCGUACGCGAGCUGGGUUUAGAACGUCGUGAGACAGUUCGGUCCCUAUCCUCUGCGCGCGCAGGAAACUUGAGAAGGGCUGUCCUUAGUACGAGAGGACCGGGAUGGACGAACCUCUGGUGUGUCAGUUGUUCUGCCAAGAGCACGGCUGAUUAGCUACGUUCGGGAGUGAUAACCGCUGAAAGCAUCUAAGCGGGAAGCAUGCUUCAAGAUAAGGUUUCCAUGGGGUUUACCCCGAGAGGCUCCCAGCUAGACUACUGGGUUGAUAGGCCGGAUGUGGAAGUGCGGCAACGCAUGGAGCUGACCGGUACUAAUAAGCCGAUAACUUGACUACAA